UAUGUGAUCGUCUCUCGCAUAUCAAUAAGCGGAGGAAAAGAAACUAACAAGGAUUCCCUUAGUAACGGCGAGUGAAGCGGGAAGAGCUCAAAUUUGAAAUCUUCAAGGUUUUACCUUGACGAAUUGUAGUUUAAAGAAGUGUUUUCUGUUGAAGUUUUGGUAAAAGUUCUUUGGAAUAGGACAUCAUAGAGGGUGAGAAUCCCGUAUUUGACCAUUAUUUUCAGCUGUGUGAUACACUUUCAAAGAGUCGAAUUGUUUGGGAAUGCAGUCCAAAAUGGGUGGUAAAUUUCAUCUAAAGCUAAAUAUUGGCGAGAGACCGAUAGCGAACAAGUACCGUGAGGGAAAGAUGAAAGAACUUUGAAAAGAGAGUUAAACAGUACGUGAAAUUGUCAAAAGGGAAGCGUUUGACACCAGUGUUGUUUUCUCGAAAAUCAAUUAAAAAGAGUUAGAUUUUGUUGUGUAUUGACCUUAACAGCUUGCAUUUCAAUUUUCUUGCUUUUUUUAAUGCACUUUUCCGUUUAACAAGUCAACAUCAGUUUCUUUUGUUGUAAAAAGGUCAUUGGAAGGUGGCUUUCUUUUCGGAGAAAGUGUUUAUAGCCUUUGACUCCUGCAAUCGGAGAGACUGAGGUCUGCAGCGUAGAUCCUUCGGGGUUAGAUACAUUUGUGCUAAGUUAUAGCUUUUUAUAGACAACUUGUUGACUAUGAUUAGUCUUGUAGCUUACUCGCUUAUGCUAUUUUACCUACGCUUAGGAUGUUGAAGAUGUAGCACAUCA
Molecule: ribosomal RNA, 773 nt
Filed under: uncultured Neocallimastigales
Lineage: Eukaryota; Fungi; Neocallimastigomycota; Neocallimastigomycetes; Neocallimastigales
Description: partial large subunit ribosomal RNA
Rfam family: Eukaryotic large subunit ribosomal RNA
Source: RNAcentral